This 237-nucleotide ribosomal RNA is filed under the name uncultured bacterium. RNAcentral describes it as "partial 16S ribosomal RNA". It matches the Rfam family "Bacterial small subunit ribosomal RNA", at positions 524 to 761 of the family's 1533-position model. The record is from RNAcentral.
UACGAAGGGGCUAGCGUUGUUCGGAAUUACUGGGCGUAAAGCGCACGUAGGCGGAUAUUUAAGUCAGGGGUGAAAUCCCGGGGCUCAACCCCGGAACUGCCUUUGAUACUGGGUAUCUUGAGUUCGGAAGAGGUGAGUGGAAUUGCGAGUGUAGAGGUGAAAUUCGUAGAUAUUCGCAGGAACACCAGUGGCGAAGGCGGCUCACUGGUCCGAUACUGACGCUGAGGUGCGAAAACG